UUUCGCCCGAACUGCCUCGCUCCCGCAAAAUAAAACGUUUCGGGCUUUCUUUCCUCCUCCACCACGAGAUAACAUAAGGGUUCGAGAGAGGAGAGCGGCACCUGGUAGAUCGACGACGGCGCCCUGGCAGAUCCACCAUGGCGGCGUAGGUAUGGUCGCCGCCUUCCUUUACCUUCUCCCUCUGCCGUCGUUCCUUCCCCUCUUCUGAUGCCACCGCGAGCUGGUUCUCUCCGGCCCUGCUCACCGCAACCAGAUCCGGUAUGAUGCCGAUGGAGGCAGUCCCCUCUGGUGCCGACCCUUCCUUUCCUUCCUGACAGUGUGGUGGCCCACUACCAGUGCACAUCUCUUCUCCCUCGGACCACCUCCUAAGCCGCCCCAUCUUCUCUGGCCGCAGUGGCCCUGCCGCCGAAACCUUCUUCCCUAGCUCCAAACAGCGCCCCUUUUGCUCCAUCCUUCUUCCCUAGCUCUAGCCAACCCCUUCUUCCUUCAUCCCUCUUCCCUAGCUCCAGACAGCCCUGCUCUAUUUCUUAUUCUUCUCUCCCCAUGUCCUUUUGUUCUCUUGUCCGAUUAAAAUAAAAUUUUACUUUUGUUCUCAAUCAUUUGCUGACCACUGAUGUAUAUUCUUGUUGCAAGUUGGAUUAAUAAUUGGAAGCCCGUUAGGCCGAUAUGAGGUAUGGAGGUUUACAAUUUUGUGAACCAAUAUGCUUGUAGUGGUCUGAUGCAUAUGCUUAUGUGUUAUAUGAUGGAUAUGAUGCAUGCUGGUCAUGCACUUUUGUGAACCAAUAUGCUUGUGGUGGUCUGAUGCAUAUGGUCAUGUACUUUAUGUCGAAUGAUGCAUGGUUAUAUUGAAAUUAGCCCAAAUUUAACAUGAUAUAUGUGCAUUGUAGUUGCAUCAUGUCACAAAUGGAUUUGAUUCCUUCCUUUACCGAAGAGAACAAGAGAAGAAAAAGGAAAAUGAUCAUAUUGACAGCGAUGUAUGUUGAGUCGGUUUGUCUUGGCCUAGCUAGCUUAUCUUAGUACGCAAAGAGUACAGAAGUGUUUGGGAUGCUUUAGUGACGAGGAGCUUCGAUAUGUUCAUAAGAAGUACUUGCUGAAAGAAAUGUACAAAUGGGCCAGAAGUAACUUGCUAUGAUGAGUUGUGCUUAACUAAAAGAAAUUUCCAUGAUCAGUGCACGAUGUUGCGUACGAAGUGUGCUAUGAAAGAUAGCGUAUAUGUCACUGUCGAAGAAAAGUUUGCCAUGUUCUUAUUUGUGACUGGACAUAGUAUCAAAAUGAGAUGUUGCAUGGCACUUACAAGCAUUCUUUGGAGACUAUUAGUAGGCACUUAUCGAAUGUGUUAACAGCUAUCCUUUCCCUAAGUGCGGAGUUUAUCAAGCUUCCUGAUCAUUCUACUGAACCUCUGGAUGAUUACAAAUGGAAGUGGUUUGGCAAUGCCUUGGGAGCACUAGAUGGGUCAUGUUCAUGUUUCUGUCAUUGCAGCUGACGAAGGGAGGUAUAGGAACGAAAAGCAAGCUAUCAGCACUAACAUUCUAGGUGUUGUUGACUGGAACAUGAAUUUUCUUUAUGUUUUACCUAGCUGGGAGGGAUCUACAUCCGAAUCCCAAGUGUUGCGUGAUGCAAUGAGAAACGAUCAUCAAGAUGCAUUUGUUAUACCUCAUGGAAAAUACUACUUAGUGGAUGCUGGAUACACCAAUGGACCUAGCUUUCUGGCUCCCUUUAGAUCGACUAGAAUAUCCAUAUCAAACGGAAUCCAAACGGGAUAAAAACGGACGGAGCUUAUUUUUUGGAAUAUUUGGCAAAUUCUGAAAGAAAAAUCCACGCGAG
Long non-coding RNA from Triticum aestivum (bread wheat), 1824 nucleotides. RefSeq lists it as uncharacterized. The record is from RefSeq and is a predicted model, not a curated record. Lineage: Eukaryota; Viridiplantae; Streptophyta; Magnoliopsida; Poales; Poaceae. The transcript is spliced from 3 exons.